GGUCUUUAUUCCAUCUCUAUAAUUUAUCAUAUUAUCUACCAUCUUUAUCCGAUCUAACUUCUUUAAUCAUUUUUUCUGAUUGUCUCUCUAUCUUUAUUUUGAAAUUCUUUAAAGACCUAAAAAAAUAUUAGUCUUAUCAAAUAGAAGGUAUAAAUAUAUAUACCAUUAAUAAUCAUUACUAAAUGUGAUGAAAUAUUUUUACUAUAAGAAA
Molecule: long non-coding RNA, 211 nt
Filed under: Elaeis guineensis (African oil palm)
Lineage: Eukaryota; Viridiplantae; Streptophyta; Magnoliopsida; Arecales; Arecaceae
Description: long non-coding RNA (EGUI_LNC001999)
Source: RNAcentral